This 430-nucleotide ribosomal RNA is filed under the name Acidobacteriota bacterium. RNAcentral's name for it is "Acidobacteria bacterium partial 16S ribosomal RNA". It matches the Rfam family "Bacterial small subunit ribosomal RNA", at positions 355 to 776 of the family's 1533-position model. Lineage: Bacteria; Pseudomonadati; Acidobacteriota. The record is from RNAcentral.
UGGGGAAUAUUGGACAAUGGGCGCAAGCCUGAUCCAGCCAUGCCGCGUGUGUGAAGAAGGCCUUUUGGUUGUAAAGCACUUUAAGCGAGGAGGAGGCUACUUGGAUUAAUACUCUAGGAUAGUGGACGUUACUCGCAGAAUAAGCACCGGCUAACUCUGUGCCAGCAGCCGCGGUAAUACAGAGGGUGCGAGCGUUAAUCGGAUUUACUGGGCGUAAAGCGUGCGUAGGCGGCUUUUUAAGUCGGAUGUGAAAUCCCUGAGCUUAACUUAGGAAUUGCAUUCGAUACUGGGAAGCUAGAGUAUGGGAGAGGAUGGUAGAAUUCCAGGUGUAGCGGUGAAAUGCGUGGAGAUCUGGAGGAAUACCGAUGGCGAAGGCAGCCAUCUGGCCUAAUACUGACGCUGAGGUACGAAAGCAUGGGGAGCAAACAGG